UUACAUUGAUUUUACUGGGCACAAUAACGUCCAUGCAUGAACAACCUGCAAGGAAGAACAUUUCAUUAGUGGUGGCAUUGCAAAUUGUAGGAAUUAAAGCAACUAAGGUGAGCAGUUUUGACAGUAAAAGACUUUGACAAGCACCAAUGUUAUACCAAUACAAUCAUCAUUUCUUUCCACUGUUGAAAAAAAAUGUUUUAAAAAAGCUUCAGUCGGGUUCUUUUCUAUCCAGAAAAUACUGUUGUGGCAGAAUCCAUGCUAAUGUCUCUGAGGGCUACCGUCGGUUAAAAGCUUACAGCAGUUAUUUUUGCUUUCGAGACGUCUAAACCACGCCCUUAUCUAUUCCAAAGGACAGAUUGGUCCUGUCAUUUCUGACAAGCCACCAUCGAUCGAGCCUGAAAUCGCUAGAAGCGAAAUGUGUUCCACUGGCUUCAGUUGAAUUGGCUGAUGCAAAUGGAAGUCAUCGGGUUGCUCCGACUGCCCAGAUACAUGCUACCCGGAAGUCCUGCCAAGGGACCAUCAGACAAUGUACUCUCACAUCGAAAGUCUCCUUGAAGUUUCACGACAUAUGUUCGCUUGAAAAAUUCCCUUUUAUGGAGGUUCCUGGGGUGAAACCACCUGCUGACAAUUGCUCAUCAGGGCCUGAUCAGUCUAUUGGUUGACACACUCAGGCAUCGGACUCUUGGCGUGGAGAACCGUAGCAGCUUCUUACUAAGUUAUGAACUUCAUAUUUGACACGGCCACCACAAUGGCAUGUCAAAACCCCUGCCGCAGAUAGUAUUGCCGCAAACUACCAGCCAACAGCUCAAUGUCUGGGCUAUAUUGCUAUUCUUUAAUAGUGAUGUGCCAAGAAAGGUAAGAAAGUAAGUAACAUUGUGUUUGAGUGUAUGUUUGUUUACAAAAAUAGGUGCCGGCGAUCUACAGAAAAUUAACUCCAGCAAUGCACCAUCGGUCGUGGGGGGCAGAGCAGAAUUCAACCUCACGCCUCAAGCCAAGAGGAGCCAUCCAGUGCUGCCGAUCUGCAGUUUGUGCCCCCAAAGCAGUCAUGUCAGCUCCCACUGCACACUGAGGUGCAAUGCCACCCGGGUGGAUCUCAUCCUGUUUUACAGAGCGGGAUCUAAAAUGUAAAGAUGUCUUAAUUGUCAUUAAAUUGCAGUCAAGCCUCUUUGGGAUUUAUACCUGUUAGUGUGUCAGAAUGUGUGAUGGCAGAGCAAUGUGUGAUAAGUUAAACAAAACCUUCAAGGAUGAUUAUAUGUCGGACAAACAAGCAGUUUGAGGCCAAUCGACGACAGAUUGACAGCCACACAAGCUGGCCACAGUUAUCAUCGGUCACCCUUGUGAUGGCCGAGGGUGGAAUUGAACUCCGGUCUCCGAGCUGUGAGGCCUGCGUGCUAACUAGUUGGCCGCCAUGCAGCCUCUCCAAAAUAUGUCAGCAUCAAUUCAUUAAAAUAAGUAAUCACAUUCAUAAUAGUCUUGUAACUGCAGCUGUAAUGCGGAGUAUAUUUUGAAAUCCAUGCUUUUAAUUUGAAACGUACCAAAAAGGAAGUUGUUCUGUUAAGCCUUAAACUUAACACAGAGACUGCUGGCACGUGUCGUUUAUUCGUACUUAAGAGAACACUAAGUAAAAAUGAACGCAUGUGGCAUUUACUGUUAAAUAAGUGUACAACGGAUUUAGAGUUUUGCAGUUAUAGAUAAGUCAUCACAUUCAUAAUAAUCUUGUAACUGCAGCUGUAAUGCGGAGUAUAUUUUGAAAUGCAUGCUUUUAAUUUGAAACGUACCAAAAAAGAAGUUGUUCUGUUAAGCCUUAAACUUAACAUAGAGACUGCUGUGUCGUUUCGGUGUCAUUUAUUCGUACUUAAGAAGAGAACAAUAAGUAAAAAUCAAGAGAGACAGACUGCACACAAGGACAAGGACGGAGCAUAAAAGACAGAUCAUAAGGAAGGUUUGUUCGAAGACUGGUGGUCAUCCAGUUGGGCUCUUAAAUCCACUGGGAUAAUACUGGGGCGAAGUCGCAAAUGUCAGCGAGGUGUUAAUUGAUGCUGCCUGCCCUCGAUAUUGUGAAAAAGCACUCACUAUGUGUGUAUGUGCUUGCCCGUGGCUGUGUGGAAAAAGCACUAAUGUAGCUGUGUCUUCAGUGGACCAGUGCUUUGGGUCUGUCUGGUCUACUGAGACAAUCUUUCCAGUGACCCGGUGUGUCAUCAGAAUAACAGCGUUAGGGACUUUGGCUGCUGGCUCGGAGCUCGGCAAAGAGGGACAAUGACUGAGGUCCAAGUGCAUUCAUGGAAUCAGGUGCAGUCAGGCAUGCUUUCCCCUGGCAUCUCUGACUUGAAACUUGUACUCAUUCCUGAUCCUAUCCAUCCUGGUCACUCCCAAUGAGAAACUCAGCAUCCUCUUAUUUGGUAUCUCCAGUUCUGCUUCCUGUCUUUUCCUCAGUGUGCACCACCUAAGCAUAAUGCUUUAACUGUUGAGCCCCCCCCCCCCAAAAAAUACAAGUUUAAAUAAUGAUUCUAGUUGUAACUGCUAUUAUAAUCAGUUAUGUUGAUGUGUACUUAUGUGUUAAAAACAUGUAAAAUAGACUAUAGAUUGGAGUACAGUCAAUUAUUUUUACGUUUAUGCUAAAGAACUAAUGAGAGAGGCGGGAUACACCCUGUACUGGUCGCCAGCCAAUCACAGGGCACAUCUAGACAAACAACCAUUCACACUCACAUUCAUACCUAUGGACAAUUUGGAGUCGCCAAUUAACCUAGCAUGUUUUUGGAAUUUGGGAGGAAACCGGAGUUCCCCGACGGGAAGAAAACAUGCAAACUCCACACAGAGAUUGCUGAGGGUGCAAAUAAAACAUAUGAAUCAUUAAAAACAGAAAGGAAAUGUCAUAUCUGAAAGUCUUAAGGAAUAAACACUACAUGAUUA
Non-coding RNA from Doryrhamphus excisus (bluestripe pipefish), 2910 nucleotides. The record is from RefSeq and is a predicted model, not a curated record. NCBI's taxonomy places the organism in Eukaryota, Metazoa, Chordata, Actinopteri, Syngnathiformes, Syngnathidae.